This 776-nucleotide ribosomal RNA is filed under the name uncultured bacterium. RNAcentral describes it as "bacterial SSU rRNA". It matches the Rfam family "Bacterial small subunit ribosomal RNA", at positions 1 to 770 of the family's 1533-position model. The record is from RNAcentral.
GCCCUUAGAGUUUGAUCCUGGCUCAGGACGAACGCUGGCGGCGUGCCUAAUACAUGCAAGUCGAGCGGGUCGCCCCGGGGCUUGCCCCGGGGAGGCCAGCGGCGGACGGGUGAGUAACGCGUGGGCAACCUGUCCGGCAGACCGGGACAACGCCUGGAAACGGGCGCUAAUUCCGGAUAGGCGCAAAGGGCGCAUGCUUUUUGCGGGAAAGGGGAAACCCGCUGUCGGGUGGGCCCGCGUCGCAUUAGCUGGUUGGUGGGGUAACGGCCCACCAAGGCGACGAUGCGUAGCCGGCCUGAGAGGGUGGGCGGCCACACUGGGACUGAGACACGGCCCAGACUCCUACGGGAGGCAGCAGUAGGGAAUCUUCCGCAAUGGGCGAAAGCCUGACGGAGCGACGCCGCGUGAGGGAAGAAGGCCUUCGGGUUGUAAACCUCUGGCUUUGGGGACGAGGGCACCGAGGGGACUCGGUGAGGGACGGUACCCAAGGAGGAAGCCCCGGCAAACUACGUGCCAGCAGCCGCGGUAAGACGUAGGGGGCGAGCGUUGUCCGGAAUCACUGGGCGUAAAGGGCGCGCAGGCGGCGAUGCACGUCCGAGGUGAAAGGCAGCGGCUCAACCGCUGAGGGGCCUCGGAUACGGCAUGGCUUGAGGGUCGGAGAGGCAAGGGGAAUUCCUGGUGUAGCGGUGAAAUGCGUAGAGAUCAGGAGGAAUACCGGUGGCGAAGGCGCCUUGCUGGACGACACCUGACGCUGAGGCGCGAAAGCGUGGGGAGCG